RNAcentral lists this long non-coding RNA (803 nucleotides) under Equus caballus (horse). RNAcentral describes it as "lncRNA (ENSECAG00000030955.2)". The record is from RNAcentral. Lineage: Eukaryota; Metazoa; Chordata; Mammalia; Perissodactyla; Equidae.
CUCCAAGGGUUUUGGGAGCUGUGAGCCUAGAACUGUGGACAAAGACCAAAUAUAUAUGAGAAAUAUACUUUGGUCAUUCGAAUGACCAAGUAUAUGUUACUUUAAAUCAUAAUAUCGCAGAAAGAGAGACAACUGUAUGGACGUAUGCUGAGUCUUAAAGGAAGAAAAUCUGUAGUGCCAAUGAACAUGAUCCAGCAUAGCCUGAAACUAUGAACUGUAUGGGAAAACGAAUGAGAAAUCUGACCUGUUGAAAUGAAAAAACAGCAUCUCCGGUCAGUCUGAGAAGCCCAUCCUCCCAGGAAGCAGUUUCUGACACGCAGAGCAGGCUCCUGCAGCAAGGUGAUAGCCUGGAAAGCCAGGCCGUUGUGUGAAGAGAGAAGUUUGCAACUUUCCCGAUGGAAGGAGCCUCUACAGCAAGCGGAAUCAGAGAAAGGCCUGACCCUUUUUCACCCUGGGAGAUUCGAGGAAGAAGAGAGAAAGGAACGAGGGCAGUGGAAUAAAGGGGAUGUGUCCCAGGGUUCCCCCUUCCUGGGUUUUGCAAAUGGAGGAGAAUAUGAGGGUGGCCCUGGCAGGCGGGCCAGACAACAGCUGCUCUCCAAAUGCCUGUCCCGGGCGUCUCCAAAUGCCUGUCCCGGGCGUCUCUGAGAGCUGGGCUCAGGGCCGGGGAGAGGACUCGCAAGAACGAGGAAACACACGGCAAAGAACAUCCCUGGCUCGGAAUUCACAAGCCCAGGAUAUCCCUGUCCUAACAGGAGAAGUUCAUAGUCUACUGUGUCUAGAGGCUGAUUUUGUUUUUAAAUAAA